RNAcentral lists this long non-coding RNA (4761 nucleotides) under Cricetulus griseus (Chinese hamster). Its description in RNAcentral is "lncRNA (ENSCGRG00015042869.1)". Lineage: Eukaryota; Metazoa; Chordata; Mammalia; Rodentia; Cricetidae. The record is from RNAcentral.
GGUCAUCAUGAGUUCUUCCUGGAGCAGUUCUGCCUUACAGACAGAGAUCCUCCAGUCCUUACAGGAAUCAGCCUCUCAGGACAGAGCAGUGGUUUGGGGCCUCAGCUGGGUUCUGUCCAUAGCAGGGGAAGGCAGCCAAUGGUGGAGGAAAGUGAGAUAAGGACAGAGAGGCUGCACUUCCUGUCAGCUCCCAGGGGAUGGUCCAAAAGAGCAGGAAACCAUUCAUCUGCUCGGCAUGUUAUAAACAGAAGCCCGGUUCACCGUUUCAUCGAUUAGUACACUCUUUGUGUUACUGGGAAGGAACUUCUUGUUUGAUGAAGUUCUAUGUGGUCUGAUUGGCGAGUUUCCAUAGCUGGCUUCCCCUUUGCUUGACUUCUGCUCUCGAGUCAGGAAUGUUUGAAGUGGUUUCCAUUGGAAAGUCCCUUGGUUUCUGUGAAAUACAGCACCAGCAGCUGCAGCAAGAAGAACUGACAGAGUUUUAAGCCUUCAGUCCAUUUCUUGGGGUUCUAGCUCAAGCUUAUGGGGUCUACCCUGUUCUCUGUCUCCCUUACAGUAUGUGUAAUCAUGGCUAUCUGACUCAAGGAACUGAAGCUCCAGUAUGAGGUAAUCUGGGUAAGAUGGCUUAGUCAUUGUACAUAAUUAAGACCAAGUCCCUGUAACACACAGGACCUGAGUCACACACACACACACACACACACACACACACACCCCACACAUACCACACACACAUACCAAAUACACAUAUCAUACCCCUCCAUACUCCUACACAUACACCCAUACAUACCACAUACUACAUACAUGCACACACAAUAUGUCUAUUCUUAGUUGUCAACUUGUCUACAUCUAGAAUUAGCUAAAAACAAAACAAAACAAAGCCACUAGGCACUCCUUCGAGGGAUAGUUUUUAGGUGAUUGGAUCACUGAAGGUCUGAAGACCCACCUUAAAUCUGGGCCACACCCUCUUAUGGCAGUUGAUAUAAAGGACAAGGGAGAAAGAAGUUCUUGCUCUUUGCCUGCUUGUCCUCACUCUUUCUGGAAAGUCUAUUCCUUCAUUGGCAUUAGAGCCUAUUUCCACAUUCCAACCAGCUGAGACAUUCAGCCUUGUGGACUGAACAACUACUGGAUUCUUGGACUUUCUGCUACUAGCCAGCCAUUGUUGGACCCAGCUGGACCACAGCCUUGAAACAAUGGAACUGGAGGCCAUCAUUCCAAGUGAGAUAAGCCAGGCACAGAAAAACAAGGACAGAAUGUUCCCUCUCAUGGAUAGGAAGGAAGUCAUUCUGAAGAGUAGACAAGUGGUUCCUAGAGACUGGAACGGAUGCUGCAGGGAGGGGCGGAGGGUGGAAGAGGGGUGAGUGGAAAUGACCCCUGCAUGUUGUGUGCAUGUAUGGAAAUUCACACUCAGCCUCAUUAGUAUGUACAAUUAAUAUGUGUUAAUAAAAAAGUAGGAGAUUUUCUGAGGAAAGACUUUGGAAGCUGGGGAAAGCAUGUGAUAGAGAAUUACAUCUUCACCCCUCAUUGGCUGCAUGAUCUUGGUUGACUAUCUCUCUGGGCUUCAGCUUUCUCAUCUAUGAAAUGAAUUAUUCAUCAUAACUAACAAGUAUCGAUUGCUUCCCAGAUGCCAGACGAGGCUCUAAGCACUCCCCGUGUACUCUGUCAUCGAAUUCUCUUGAUUCACAUUGGGGUGGGUGCUCCCAUGACCCUCAACUUAGAUGAGGGGAAACUGCCAUAGAUAAUGUGUCCACAGAAUAUACACUGCAGACCCAGGAUUCAAACAUGGACAAUUUGGCUUCCAGCACCAUGUUUUCCAUCUACAACCCUCCAUCACAAGGAAAUGUGGGGCUAGAAUGAUAAUGUAGACGUACAGGCUCCCCCAAAGCAGCAGGGCUUCCCCCUCCUCCUCUUCUGUAGGUUGUGAUUAGAACUUGCUGUAUGGUUUUGUUAAACUGCAGAAAUGAACCUAAACAAACAAGCACCAGAAAAAUCCAGCUGGAAUAAUGAUGAAGACAUCCAAAAGGUAGGUUCUCCAUAGGAUCCAGAAAGAUCCAGGGCUGUCCGGACAGGACACCAGGACACUCUGACUUAGAUAUUCCGGUCCUUGGCAGGCAGGAGGCUUUGGAGGUGUGUUUGGCUCCACCUGUGUGUCAAUCCAUCAACUCCCUUUACUGACUUUGUACUGAAUAAAGAAUCUUCUAGUAUUGAUUUUCUUUCCCAAAAGUCUGUCCUUCCUGAAAGAGAUUGUGCUGACCAGCCAACCUCAGAAUUCCUGGCUGCUGGGGGCUUUCAUUUCUCAGUGUAAAUUAAUAAAUUGCAUUUUGGACUCAUUAAUCAGUCUCAUGAGUGUGUUUAGUGUGAGCUAUUUCCUCUAUACUUAAUCAUAACAACUCACCUUCUAGGAGGAGGGAAUGGAGAAGAAAUCCCUUCAGUACAGUAAGAGAAAUGUUCCAAAAAUUUUAUGAAAAAGGCAGAAUGUGUUGAUCUGUAGGUGGAGACAGGCACAUUCAGAGUGGCUUCCUGGAGGAGGGUAACACAGGCAAAGGAGGGGACUUCAGCAUGACCCUUGAGCACAGUCCCUGAGGCCUGCCAGAGUUGGAGGUGUGUCUUUUCCUAUUCACUGGCUUAGUGACUUUGCCAGGCUUUGGCAUCUCUGUGGUCCUCAUGCCCCUCUUUUUUAUAGUUCUCAUAAUGAUGGCAUCCAAUAUGGGGUGGUGUGACUAUCAGAUAACUGCAGAUGUUCUGAAGUAUCCUGGAGAGCUGAUUUCAGGGCUCAUCCCACCAGGAUCUCCAAAUCCACAGAUGCCCAAAACCUUUCUAUAAAAUUUCAUUGUAUGUAUAUAUAAAAUUCUCAAAAAUAAUGAAAAAUAAACUACUAGUAAAUGAAAAAUAUAGUAAAGUAUUUACAUUUAACCUAAGCACUUAUACUUGAAGUCAUUAGAUUAUUCAUGGUGUGUGUAUGUGUGUGUGUGUGUGUGUGUGUGUGUGUGUGUGUGUGUGUGUAUGUGUGUGGUACAUGGAUCUGAGGUGAGUGAUGGGUGUCUGUGGGUGUGAAAAUGUGGAGGACAGGGGAAAACAUUGGGGUCUCCUGUCACUCUUUACCUACUAUCUUGAGACAGGGUCUCUCACUGAACUGGUAGCUUGCUCUUUUGAUUAGGCUUCCUUGUCAGUGAGCUCCCAGGAUCCACUUGACUGCUCCACGGAUGCUAGUUUACAGGCAUGUGGCUCUGUGGUGGAGAUUUUAAUUCAGAUUCUUAGGAUUGCAUAGCAAGCACUCUUACCCACUGCUCCUUCUUCUCAGUUCCUAUUCACAGUACUGAAUACAAUGUAAAUGUUAUGCAAAUAGUUGUUAACAAUGUUAACAAUAGCUGGGCACCAUAGUGCACACCUGUAAUCCCUGCACUUUGGAGACAGAGGCAGAAAGAUCAGGAGUUCCAGCCUAUCCUCAGCUACACAGUGAUUUCAGAGCCAGCCUGGGCUACAUGAGAGUUUGACAUAACAAGAUAAAACAAAACAUGUAGCAGUGAUUUAUUUGGGCACACAAUGACAAAACAGUCCCUACCUGUUUAGUAUAGUUGCACUGUCCUCUACCCCCUGAGUAUCUAUCUGAAUCUUUGGUUGCUGAACUUCUAGUUAAGGCAGACUGACUGUGCUGUAUAAAGCUCUUAGCCUGAGGCCUGGCUUACAAAGGACAUUUAGUAAAUGGAUGUCAUUACUGUUGCUAUUAUGAAUGCCUUGAAGGGUAUUUCCACAGAGGGCAUUUCUGGAAGGAGUCUCAUUUGGCACUGGGUACAUCCUCAGGACCUAAAGACUGUUCUGUGAGAGUUGACCCUUAGGUUUCAGAUGUGCAGGGCAGAAUGUUCUUUGUAGUAGAGGGAUCCUUCCUUGAGAGCAAUCACAGUCCAUUCUGUGGUUUAGCAGCAGAGAAGAGCUGCACACACAAUCUGCAAGAGCUCAUCAGCUCGUGGUUUCUGAGUCACUGUUAGGUCAUUUCAGCUCCAAACAGGAGGCCUGGGCCGGAAGGGCAGUGGCUGGAGACAACUGGACCUUACCAGAGAUCCUCCUUCAGGAUCAGCCUCUGCAUGGAAGCCUAGCUAGGGCUGAGAGAUGCUCAGUAUUUGUUUCUAGGAUAAAAACAGAGGCCCUAGUGGAAAGGGUGCUCUCAGUAAGGUCCAGCUGCAGAGCUGGGCAGCUCCUGGGUUCUCUGCUCUCUUGUCCUAUGCUUGUCCACAGAUCCUGGUUGAAAGGAAAAGUAUUGGCUCAGGACCCUGAAGGCCAAGUUCUCAGCACAAAGGAGAUUUAUUUGCCCCGGAGGGACAGGGGGCAGGGAUAAUGGUCAAAGACAGAAGAUAGAGGAAGAGGGAGAAGGGGAAGGGAACCAGGGAAAGGGGACAGGGGUACUUGUUCCAGAGGGACAAAGGACUGUCUGGAUGGAGAGGAGACAGAUGUGGCACAUAGGUAAAUGGAAGUUUAUAAAAGUGCAAUGGGGAAACCCUGUGUUAGGAUGAGGUGUUUAAUUUUAAUUGGACAUGUUAAUUAGGUGAACCAAUGGGUGAUUUUGAUUGUUGGACUUCAAUACUUUGAUAGCUGGACCUUGGUAGUCAGCUUCAGGAGGAGGCAGUAGCCAUAAAAGGGAAUUGAGCUUGGGACUAGCUUCAGGAAUGUGAGGCAAACGUGAUAAGCACUACACUACAGAAACAACAUGCUUAGUUUCAGGAAUGUAAUCCAAUGGUUUUUAGCAAAGCUGAAGGAGAAGGAAGGGCAAGG